Myotis lucifugus (little brown bat) is the source of this 2382-nucleotide long non-coding RNA. RefSeq lists it as uncharacterized. The transcript has 2 exons. The record is from RefSeq and is a predicted model, not a curated record. Lineage: Eukaryota; Metazoa; Chordata; Mammalia; Chiroptera; Vespertilionidae.
GCUACUUCAUAACUGUAAUUUUGCUACUGUUAUGAAUCAUAAUGUAAAUAUCUGAUAUGCAGGAUGUAUUUUUCAGGGGUCGCGACCCACAGGUUGAGAACCGCUGAAGGCAAAGCAGGACCAUCCCUGUGUACUAGUAGACUCACUUCUUGAGCAAGUUCUAGCGUUUCCUAAGAAUUUUAUGAGGAUCUAUAAAUACUCAUUUCUUUUUGGCCUGUACCACUAGGUGGAGGUGCUAUGCUAGACUCCCCCUCUUGGCCUUUGCUCAUGCUGUCACCCCCCCUCCCAAGCUUCCCAUCCUCUGCCUAGAAUGCUCUUUCUCUAACCUCAUCUAUUUGAUAAAUAUAUGAUCUCAGUUCACCUCCAUUUGGCAACCUGGGGACAUUUAUUGGGUGACUAAUUCAUGCCAGGUACUGAGCUUAGUGUCUAGUUGAGAGCAGACCUGGAAACUGAUCAUUAUAACCUGUGUGGUCUCAUGUACUCAUUGAAGGAGGCAUCAUACUCCUACUCUCUUUCCCCAAGUAGAACUGACAGUUUCCAUUUUUGUGUACCUAUUUCAUAAUAAUAAUGAUAAUAAUAAUAAUAAUAAUAAUAGUUCAUUUCUCUUACUUAUGUUUCUUUUUACCAGAUAGUCUAUAAACUCCUUUAGGGCAAAGAGUCUAUAUUACCCCUGAAUAUCCAGCACUUGGAUUAUGUCUAUGCAUAGAAGAUGCCCAAUUAAUGUUUUUAGGAUGCGUGAACCCAUAUUUUAUGGCUAAUGACCUUCUAGAGAUUGUUUGCCAUGUCUCUUUUUUUUCAUGUAUUGCCCAAAUAUAUUUUGAGUGCCUACUGUGCCAGGCAGUCCUAUAAGAGUUUACAUUUCAAUGGGGUGGAGACAAUAGGCAAAUAAGGAAACUAUAUAGGGUAUUAGUUGGCAUGGAAUAUCAUGGAGGAAAAUUAAGCUGAAUGAAGGAUCAGGAGUGUGUGUGGGUAUGAGCAUUUAGAGGUUGUCAGGCAGUCAUUUCUGAGAAGGUGACAUUUGAGUCAAGGCCUGAAGGAGGUGAGAAAGCUCCUUCAGCAGAGGAGCAUCUGGGUAUAUGAAUAGGGAGUCUAUGGACAAGGCUUCAGAUAUAAAUAUGGCAGUUGUCAGUGAAUAGAUGGUAUUUAGAGCCCUGAGACUGUGAGGUCAGGAUAAAUACAGAAAACAUCCAAGGACUGAGCCUUGAGGCAUGUUCCUGUCAGAGAUGGCAGAGCUGAAGAGGAACUAAUAAAGGAGAUUGCAGGAGGGACCAGUGAGAGGAGGAAGCCAAGAGAAGGUGUUAAUGAUCCACUGUAUCAAACAUUACUCAUGGGUUGUGCAAGUUGAGGACUGAGAAGUGACCGUUGAAUUUGGUCAUUGGUGUCACAAAAGUCAUUGGUGUCUUUGACAAGAGCAGGUUGAAUGGAGUGGUAGGGUGACAGCUCUACCUAAGAAGCCCAAAAGAAAAUAGGAGAAGAAAAAUUAUAAUAUGGGGAACUCUCAAGAAGUUUGUUGUAAAAGGGUGGUUCAGAGAAAGAGGGUGGUCCUCGGAGAAGGAAUGUGGGAUUAAAUAUUUUUUUUAAGAAGGGGAAAAUUAUGAAAUGUUUGUAUGCGAAUAAGAGUGAUCCAGCAGAGAGGGAGAAAUUGAGUAUGUGAGAGAGGGAACAGAUGACAAAAGCCAUAUCCUCAUCUAGUCAGGAGGAGCCGGGAUGUGGUGCACAUGUACCAGCUGCCUGAGGUAGGAGCAUGAGCGGUUCAUUGGUGGUAACAGGAGGGAAGCCAUACCUGGACAAGGAUGCAGGCAUGUAGAGUCAUGUCGAGAGCUCAGGGCAAGUCAAGAGAUUGUCUCUAUCAUCUCAAUGAAAUAGGAAACAGGGUCUUCAGCAGGGACUAAGUGGGAAGGCAGAGAUAUCGGAAUUUUGAGGAGAGAGGAGAAAGUAUGAAAUAGUUGUCUGGAAGUGUCUUUAUUAAUUUCUCUGUGUGGAGUGUGUUUACCUGUGUGUGGGGUGGGGCAUCAGUAGUUGGCCUUUUCUAGGAAUGAAGAGUGUUGGUGUCAGAAGGGUGUGGCCCUCCAUAGGUGCUCCUCUUCCAGUCCAAAAGUCUGCUGGCCUGGGGCAAGCCUUCACAGUGCAGUGACUGGCGACUUGAAUGGGAAAUUAGGUUGAAAGCAGACUUGAGAAGGUUAGAGCCCUUGGAACAGCUUUAAGUGACAUCAAUAUGUUCUCUGCGUGCCAAGCUCAUUUCUGCCGACAGGCCCUUGCACUUGCUGUCUUCUCUUGCUGGAAUGUUCUGUCCCACAGUGGUGACUCAAUAUGAGUAAAAUCCUUCCUGACCACAGCAGUGCUUCUCUUUCCAAGAAAUAAACACUUUUACUUUCAGUUUUA